RNAcentral lists this long non-coding RNA (3402 nucleotides) under Equus caballus (horse). Its description in RNAcentral is "lncRNA (ENSECAG00000053606.1)". Lineage: Eukaryota; Metazoa; Chordata; Mammalia; Perissodactyla; Equidae. The record is from RNAcentral.
GGAAGACAGAAGAAAAAAGCAAUGAGGGUUGGCCUCACCUUCUUGGAACCCAGCUUCACCAACUGGAAUGGGAGUUUCCCAUUAUCAAAUUUUGUUUCCUGUUAGUUCCCCUUACCAGCCAUUGCCACCACCACCACCAUCACCAUGGAAGUGCUCGGGGCCUGGAGUGCCAGAAAAUGGAGAGAUGGAAGAGGAAACAAAAAAAAAGCAAACACAGUGCAGUGCUGCUCUCUCUCUGAGCAUUGGAAGUUCCCUUUCCAGCUCCUCGAGCCAUUACCAGAGGGAUUGUUUGACUGGUGCCCAUUUUCUGGGUCACCAGUGCUUUGUGUUCAGGUCAGGGGAUAUUGGAAGAACAAAAUGUCAAACUCACUGCCGAUUCAGUGGCACUUUUAAGUUUGGUCUUCUGCAGUCUUCCUCUGAUAUUUAAUUUCUCUGUCUUCAGGCUGUUCCCUGCUUUCUCUCAAGUUUCUAUAGCUGUAUUCAUUGAGGGAGACAGGGUUGUCAGGGAGCAGAGGGCGAGGAGUGAGGAUGUGGUAAUGAGCGCGCCGCGUUCCGUGUCAGUUGCAGAGAAAUUCCUGAGGGCCCCAAAGCUGAGCACAGUAAGAAGUCCAGCUGAAGCCAGAUGAAGAAGGUUCUUCUCCUUGAAACACUUCCAUCCAUCCCCUUGUAAUGCCUCAGUGUCCUGCUAUUACGUCUGUGGAGUCAUCGUCUAUAUGCAGUAGGCCCAAUCCAAAUUAGGUCUGAAAGGCUGCAAACAGAAGGUCAGAUAAAGCUAAACUUCAAAACAAAUGAAAAAAAGAAAAGGGAAGAAAAAAGAAUGGUUUGAGCGCUGUGUGAACUUCUGAAGAUCAGCUUCAAGGAUGCUGUGGAGAGAAGACAAAAUUACAUCCUGGGAAGAGCAUGAAGCAGAGAUCUGUGGACUCCCACUGAGAAAAGUUGACAUCACUGCACACUUCCCCCAUGAGGGUGCCUCGUCUCUUUGUCUCCCAAGAGACUGAGAAGGAGCUGGGUGGCUGGGUCUCCGCAUUGUCCAAAUGCCAGAAGAGCAAGGAGACAAGGGAACAGUGGGACUUGCUGCCAUUACCCCAGCAGGGGACAGCAGUCUGCUGCAUCUACACUAGCAAUCCCUGGGGGUAGAGAACACUUUACCUCCCAAAACCUGGGAGGUGAUGGAAUACAACAAGAUCUGUAAAAAUACGGAGAAAAAAGGCAACAUAUUAAGGUUCCAUCUGUUAGAGUGCGGAAACUUAGGUGGAAGAAACUACGUACAUCCAGUGAAAUAAGAUUGUUGGGGAGAUGUAUGAAAGCCUGAAUAAAAAAAAUUCGAAUCAUUUCAGUGAUUCAGAUCCAAGUGUAGAAUGAAAAGGACUUUUCAAAACCUAACAAUAGUUCCCUACUAAACAAUUAAAUGAAAUAAUACAAAGAAAAAACAAUUAAUUUUGAGUUCUAAUUGGUGGCCUCAAAUAUUAAGUGCAAAACAUAUUUGAAGCAGUGAGCAAAAAGCAUAAAGAGAUAACAAAUGUAGUGGAAAAGAUGAGAAAUCUGGGUGGUGGUUCCAGGAGACCAGGGUUCUGGAAAGAAGGAAAGAGAAAAAAAAUAAAACAUACGGAGAUGUCAAAAUUCAAAAACUGUUUAAAAAAACCCAGAUCAAUAAAAUUGUAUGUAGUGAAAGUUUAUUGUGUAUGUAGUAACAGUUCAUGAACUGAGAGUCUCCGAACCAGCAGUGGAAUGAAGCUCAGAGGCCUGUUGCUGUAGGAAAUCUUAUACACUGGAAAUGCAGAAGGUAUUUAAUCUUCAUAAUGAUUGGUUAUAGCAUUGGGGUUUUUCCCCAGACAGAGGAUUGGUUAAAGGUGGUAAUCUUAUGCUAUUUUUGGAAAACAAUUUAGGUUUCAUUCCUGACUUUCAGAAGCUUUUACAAGAAAACAGCCCACGUUAAGUUUCGCUUAUAUCGCAGGAUAGGCUAAAUUGGAUUUCAACUUAACUGGUUUUGUCUGCCCAGGGAAUUUUCAAAUCUGGUAUCCAUUUUGUAUUUUAUUUUACUAGAGAUGGUAAUUAAACACAUAAUGAAGCUAAUUCUCCUUGGGCCAAAUAAAGUUCUAAGUCUGUGGUAUGAAUGUACCUGGGCAUAGAUUGUGGUAUUCCUAAAAUAUGACAAAGAUAAGACAAGGAUGCAGAAGCAGCACAGCAAAGAUGCAUGAAUUUUCUAUGCUUCUGGGAAACAAUGCGAAAGGUUGAAUGGGAUUAAAUAAUCAUGGUGAUACUUAGUUUUAAAAUGAAGAUGACUGGGUCUUAAGGAGUGGAAUGACACUUUUAAAAAAUGAAGGUGACAGAAAAAUGUACAGAAUCAGACUGAGCUGUCACUAAAGAUGAGUGCCAUUCAGCUGAAAAAGGGUGAGGGAUGGAUAACAGAUCAGAGUUCAUAGAAGUUAUUGGAAAAAUAAAAUUGUCCCAUGUUUAUACCCUGAUGAGUCAAGACUGUUCAGUCAAACUGAUUAUACUUAUUUGCACACUGUCUCUUGUGAUUUGUCUCUUUGCUCUAAAAAUAAGUGUCAAAACAGCUCUGAUUAAUUGUAGUCUGGUGAAUGGGUUCUAUUUCCUAGAGGUUUUAUUGGUCAUUGAUGUGUGGAGAUGGAACCUUCAAUAUAUAGACUAAUUGUCCCCAUCACUCAUGGAAAACACUAAGACCCGGAAAGGACACCACAUAGCUCUUUGGAUUAUAAUGCUAGCAAACAUAUAUAAAAAUUACUGCAGGGGAGAAAGAGCUGAAUUUACAAAUGUAAAGAGGUAUUAGGCAAACUUUAUAGGUCAGUAUUUUUGUGUCUGUGAGCAUGCUGAUAUUUUUAAGCUAUAGUCAAGGUAAAUGAGCUAAGUAAGAAACUGAUUUUUAAGAUAUGUUUGUCAGCUAAUAUAGCAACAAAUGACUCAAUUUAAAAUCUGAGGUGAAAGAUACAUGUGUCUAAAUUGGUAAUAAACUACAUCUAUAUUCUGGGUCUGAUCUUUAGUAUUUUGCUAAUUUUGAUGUGAAUUCAAUAAAUAUUUUUGAACACAUGAUCAAAUUUUAUCAUACUAUCAUAACUCCUUGAUGGUUCAGGACAUCUGAUUCCAAGAGUCUAUUUUGAUGUCCCCAAGAAUUUACUCAUUUCUAUUGUUCCAGGUAUCCUAGUUUUUAGGUAAAACUGCUCUAGCAAGAUCUUUUAGCCAGAUAUUUUACCAAUUAUAUUAUUUUAAUACAAGAUGUUCUCUAUCAAAAUUCCACCUUACAGCUAGUUUCACAAAUCUUAUCUAGAAAUAAUUAUUCAUAUAAGGUUAUAGUCAUAAAAAAGGAUUAAGCGAAACUGUUUUCCUUCCAUUUCGGAAUUUUAUUAUAUCUGUGCACUAAUUUCCAAAUUAUAAAUUUCUCAG